This 427-nucleotide ribosomal RNA is filed under the name Camaena hainanensis polyzona. RNAcentral's name for it is "partial large subunit ribosomal RNA". Lineage: Eukaryota; Metazoa; Mollusca; Gastropoda; Stylommatophora; Camaenidae. The record is from RNAcentral.
UAUGCGAUUUACAAUAUGGCAUUUUCUGCUCAAUGAUUUUUAAAUAGUUGCAGUACUCUGACUGUGCAAAGGUUGCAUAAUAAUUUGGCUUAUAAUUGAAGUCUAGCGUGAAUGAAUACAUGGGGAGUAACUCUAUCAAUAAUGGUUAAUGAAAUUAUUAAGUAAGUGCAAAUACGUAUAGUUAAAUAAAAGACGAGAAGACCCUAGAAAUUUUUAUUAAUUUUUAAAAAGACGUUUUUGCUGGGGCGACAUAGUAACAUUUUAAACUUACAUUAUAUAACUAGACGUUUUUUCCGGAAGAAUAAAUUACUCUAGGGAUAACAGCAUAAUUUAAUAUAAUUUGUGACCUUGAUGUUGGAUAAGGAAAUUGAAGUUCAAAAGAUUUAAAUUUUGAUCUGUUCGAGCAAUAAUAUCCUACAUGAUCUGA